CGACGCACUGCGUCGUUGUAAGUCUCGUCGGACAAUUUACCGGACCACACUGGACGUCGGCUGCGGGACGAAUAGGUAGUAUCGUCGGAUCUGUAAUUAGUGAAAGCACCAAUUAGUCAUGAGCGGAAAAUGGAAUGGAACCAAACAAAACAUAAAUUACAAUGUUAUGAUCGGUCUACCACAAAAGAUUUAAAUUUUUUUGUGUCGCUUGGUAUAUAACAUUUGGACCUAUUUCGACUCGACUCAACAACAGUUACUGUGAGCAAAUAGAUAACUGCGCAAAUACAGUUGCUAGAAACGCAAAAAAAUUUAGAUGAAAUGAGACCUGGAGAAUAGAGAUACCAGUAAUUAACGUUACACCUGUAUAAGCAGGUCAAUCGCUGGAAGCGACACAGACAUCGAGAAACAGAACAGCAUGCAAGCAAUGUGCAGCAAGUAAAAGUCAAGGGAGAUACGGCUGUGAACUUUGACAACGGCAUGAUUACCAAUAAAGAACGCUAUAAUCGAUUGCCUUCUUUACUAGAUACGCGCACGAAACGGCAAAUACAUAUUUAUAUAUUCUGUGCCGAAUACACAAAAUUGUAUAUUACACUCGGAAAGUAAAUGAUUCCUUAAAAGGUAGCAGGUAACAGGCAGGAGGAAGCGUAACCACCGCAAUGAAGCAUAUUAAUUAUUGAUUACGAUCACGUUCUCUCUUGUAUUUAUCGCAUUAGGGCAGGGGUUCCUCCAGGGGAGUAAAUCUUUUAACAGCUAAAACAAGCUAUAAGGUAUUGGUAUUGACUUAAAGUGUUGACACCAUAAACAACCUGCCAUCAGCUGGAAUGAAGACGUGUGAUUGUGAUACAUAUUGAGCCAAAUCACUAACGUUAGACAUGCAGAGGCAUGUCUGGUAGUAACUAUCAAAAAGGCCUUUAAAUGUUUAUAUGUAUAUGGGUAAAUUUUCAGUUGGCUAUAUUUAUAAUUAAUAUAUAAUAUAAUUAAAACCCCACCAAACCUGGGGAAGUAGUGCACAUGAGUUGGCCACACAUCGCGAAACUGCGCAUAUCCUGACGCUAAUAAUGCAGGCUCCCGAGAUUUUUUCACCGAGGGUAUCCUCUUUCGUCGCCGAUGGCUUGCAUUUCGGGAUACACAUCCAGGUCCAAGCUGCUGCUGCUCCCUAUAGUGCGCAAUGCCUUCCACAACCAGGCCGACAGAGGAGCACAUGCCUCAGGCCCUUGGAAAAUUUUACGGCAUCAAGCCAACAGACGGGAUAUUAGACCGCUUAGCGCGCUUCAAGCCAACUUGCUCGUCGGAUCCAACAAUGUAAACUGCGUAGGUUGACUGAUUGAUGGCUUCUCCUCCUCGCCUAAUGUAUCCGAAUUUGACUGAACAUUUAUUGAACAACCGAAUAAUACAAUUUCUGUUAGCAACAGC
RNAcentral lists this long non-coding RNA (1413 nucleotides) under Drosophila melanogaster (fruit fly). Its description in RNAcentral is "antisense RNA:CR43480 (Dmel_CR43480)". The record is from RNAcentral. Lineage: Eukaryota; Metazoa; Arthropoda; Insecta; Diptera; Drosophilidae.